GCGAAGGUGGCGGAAUUGGUAGACGCGCCAGACUAAGGAUCUGGUGUCUCACGACGUGGGGGUUCAAGUCCCCCCCUUCGCA
RNAcentral lists this transfer RNA (82 nucleotides) under Pseudenhygromyxa salsuginis. RNAcentral's name for it is "tRNA-Leu". It matches the Rfam family "tRNA". From Rfam's summary of the family: Transfer RNA (tRNA) molecules are approximately 80 nucleotides in length. Their secondary structure includes four short double-helical elements and three loops (D, anti-codon, and T loops). The record is from RNAcentral. Lineage: Bacteria; Pseudomonadati; Myxococcota; Nannocystales; Nannocystaceae. RNAcentral also lists the same sequence under 2 other names.